Molecule: ribosomal RNA, 441 nt
Filed under: uncultured bacterium
Lineage: Bacteria
Description: partial 16S ribosomal RNA
Rfam family: Bacterial small subunit ribosomal RNA
Source: RNAcentral
CCUACGGGAGGCAGCAGUGGGGAAUAUUGCACAAUGGGGGAAACCCUGAUGCAGCGACGCCGCGUGAGUGAAGAAGUAUUUCGGUAUGUAAAGCUCUAUCAGCAGGAACGAGACAAGACGGUACCUGACUAAGAAGCCCCGGCUAACUACGUGCCAGCAGCCGCGGUAAUACGUAGGGGGCAAGCGUUAUCCGGAAUCACUGGGUGUAAGGGGAGCGUAGACGGCUGUGCAAGCCUGAAGUGAAAGGCGGGGGCCCACCCCCUGGACUGCUUUGGGAACUGUACGGCUGGAGUGCAGGAGAGGUAAGUGGAAUUCCUAGUGUAGCGGUGAAAUGCGUAGAUAUUAGGAGGAACACCAGUGGCGAAGGCGGCUUACUGGACUGUAACUGACGUUGAGGCUCGAAAGCGUGGGGAGCAAACAGGAUUAGAUACCCCAGUAGUC